RNAcentral lists this unclassified non-coding RNA (214 nucleotides) under soil metagenome. RNAcentral describes it as "partial contains 5.8S ribosomal RNA, internal transcribed spacer 2, and large subunit ribosomal RNA". The record is from RNAcentral.
AACCAUAGAAACCUGCGGAGUACCUGCGGAGGGAUCAUUACAAGUGACCCCGGUUUACCACCGGGAUGUUCAUAACCCUUUGUUGUCCGACUCUGUUGCCUCCGGGGCGACCCUGCCUUCGGGCGGGGGCUCCGGGUGGACACUUCAAACUCUUGCGUAACUUUGCAGUCUGAGUAAACUUAAUUAAUAAAUUAAAACUUUCAACAACGGAUCU